RNAcentral lists this ribosomal RNA (484 nucleotides) under uncultured bacterium. RNAcentral describes it as "partial 16S ribosomal RNA". It matches the Rfam family "Bacterial small subunit ribosomal RNA", at positions 28 to 507 of the family's 1533-position model. The record is from RNAcentral.
GAUUAACGCUAGCGGCAGGCAUAAUACAUGCAAGUUGAACGGCAGCACAGGUAGCAAUACUGGGUGGCGAGUGGCGCACGGGUGCGUAACACGUAUGCAACCUACCCUAUACAGGCGAAUAACCUUUAGAAAUGAGGGCUAAUACGCCGUAGUAUUACAGAUGGGCAUCUAUUUGUAAUUAAAGAUUUAUCGGUAUAGGAUGGGCAUGCGUCCCAUUAGUUAGUUGGUAAGGUAACGGCUUACCAAGACGAUGAUGGGUAGGGGAUCUGAGAGGACUUACCCCCACACUGGUACUGAGACACGGACCAGACUCCUACGGGAGGCAGCAGUAAGGAAUAUUGGGCAAUGGCCGCGAGGCUGACCCAGCCAUGCCGCGUGCAGGAAGACGGCCUUAUGGGUUGUAAACUGCUUUUGUACGGGAAUAAUAGAGUGUACGCGUACAUUUAUGCAAGUAUCGUAUGAAUAAGCAUCGGCUAACUCCGUG